GAUGAACGCUGGCGGCGUGCCUAAUACAUGCAAGUCGAGCGAACAGACGAGGAGCUUGCUCCUCUGACGUUAGCGGAGGACGGGUGAGUAACACGUGGAUCACCCCCCUAUAAGACUGGGAUAACUUCGGGAAACCGGCGCUAAUACCGGAUAAUAUCUUGAACCGCAUGGUUCAUUAGUGAAUGACGGUUUUGCUGUCACUUAUAGCUGGAUCCGCGCCUCAUUAGCUAGUUGGUAAGGUAACGGCUUACCACGGCAACGAGGCGUAUCCGACCUGAGAGAGUGGUCGGCCACACGGGAGCUGAGACGCGGUCCAGACUCCUGCGAUAGGCAGCAGUAUGGAAUCGUCCGCAGUGGGCGAAAGCAUUGCGGAGUGGCGCGGCGUGAGUGAUGAAGGUCUUCCGAGCGUAAAACUCGGUUAUUAGGUAAGAACAAAUGUGUAAGGAACUAUGCACGGCUUGACGGUACCGAGUCAGAAAGCCACGGCUAACUACGUG
RNAcentral lists this ribosomal RNA (497 nucleotides) under uncultured bacterium. RNAcentral describes it as "partial 16S ribosomal RNA". It matches the Rfam family "Bacterial small subunit ribosomal RNA", at positions 28 to 507 of the family's 1533-position model. The record is from RNAcentral.